RNAcentral lists this transfer RNA (72 nucleotides) under Pangasius djambal. RNAcentral's name for it is "tRNA-Glu". It matches the Rfam family "tRNA". From Rfam's summary of the family: Transfer RNA (tRNA) molecules are approximately 80 nucleotides in length. Their secondary structure includes four short double-helical elements and three loops (D, anti-codon, and T loops). The record is from RNAcentral. Lineage: Eukaryota; Metazoa; Chordata; Actinopteri; Siluriformes; Pangasiidae.
UUCCUGGAGGACUAAAGGUUAGGCCACAGCGCUCUCACCGCUGCAUCCUGGGUUCGAUUCCUGGCCAGGGAG